AAACUAUGCAUCGGGCGUUUUCUAAUUAACUCCUUGAAUUGCUCCCAUGCUUCAUAUAAUGUUUCGUCCUCAGAUUUCCAAAAGGACAUAAUAUCAUUCCUCAGUUU
Molecule: small nucleolar RNA, 107 nt
Organism: Gossypium raimondii (Peruvian cotton)
Lineage: Eukaryota; Viridiplantae; Streptophyta; Magnoliopsida; Malvales; Malvaceae
Source: RefSeq, a predicted model, not a curated record